This is a long non-coding RNA of Scleropages formosus (Asian bonytongue), 1394 nucleotides long. RefSeq lists it as uncharacterized. NCBI's taxonomy places the organism in Eukaryota, Metazoa, Chordata, Actinopteri, Osteoglossiformes, Osteoglossidae. The record is from RefSeq and is a predicted model, not a curated record. The transcript has 3 exons.
CUUUUCCCUUGUGCGUCUCCUGGAGCCACUGUCUCAGUCGGAUCAGGCAGCUCUCCUGCAUCGGCGUCAGCUGUCCGAGAUUUCCACAUGGCUGGAUUUUGUGGGACAUCGGUGUUGGAGUGCAAUUUUGUGGGGACAAGCCCAGGAGAAGAGGUGCUCCUUCAAGCUGGAUUUGAACCGGCAGCCUAAGGAUGGCCAUCAGCACAGCUCUACAGUCCGCCACACUACCAACUGAGCUAUCGAGGGUAAGCGCAUUCAUUGCAUGUGAGUCACCUUAAAGUACCUGUGAUCAACAAGCUCUCAGUAGGAGGGUGUGCUUUUAGCUACAGAGCACAUAAACUCUGGAACAGAACGGUUUCAGCCUUUAAAUCCUGGCUAAAGACUUACAUGUUAAAUCUGGCAUAUCAAUAAUCAGUGUAAUUCCAGUUGGCUGUGCUUCUUUCCUUGUAUAUUAACCUCUCUAACCUCUUUAAGGUCAUCAUUUACUAACAAUUUCUCUCUUGUUGAGCAUUGUUUCCCUAUAAGACAAGACCUGAGGAGACCGGUCGUCAUUCCGACACUCCAUGCUGACUGAAGCUGAUGACCGCCUGCCUUGAUCUAUGAGACUGAUCAGGCAGGCAUGCGCAAAGUUGAGGGAACGUUGCAUCACUCAACUGGACAUUUUUCACAGCAGAAACCAGUUUCAAAAUAAGCAGCGCUCAUGAACCUGAUGUCAGGACCGCCAUUGCCGGCAGCGCUGAUACCUGACAAAUGCAAGACUUUUAAUUAAGCUGAAGACAGUUCAACCCGUCUCCUGACUUCUUACUGACAACGGACAUUAAACACAAGCAGCCAUAUAGAGAGGCCUGCUGUCAGAGGGCUGCACGGAUACGGGAAAAGGCUGCGUCUUUCGCCGAUCUUCUGUUAGCUGCAGCACAGAGUUUAAUCUAAAACUGUCACUGCAAGAUCUUUAUACCCUGGAACUUUGGAAGCACUAAUGGCUUGUAUAAACUUUAUGUUACAAUUUGCCUUACGCAGCAAAGUAUUCUUACCUGAAUCGGUCCAGGUUCACUACCCAUCUCACGGGUCCUUCAAGCGGAAGGCGACGGCUCUGACCGCUACACCCCCCGCCGCCCCACAUGUGCUUUACGGUUUUGCACUGGGAACCGAGCCCCGCCAGUUUGCGUGAAAUGAACUGGAGAGAUGUUCUUGCGAGCGAGUGUUUUUUUUUCCCCCAAAUAUUUCUCAGUCGGAACAGCAAGCAAAAUGAUAUUGCACAAUCCUGUGGCUUACGGAUGCAUGCUGUUCCCUUUAAGAUUAUUAAAGUCACUCUCGGGAGCAUUAUCGUGUCCAUGUGUCUAUUUCACAUCUUUGUGGAAGUGUUAUGAGAGGAGAAAAGUGGGUCAGUGUUUCCU